RNAcentral lists this ribosomal RNA (305 nucleotides) under uncultured bacterium. RNAcentral describes it as "bacterial SSU rRNA". It matches the Rfam family "Bacterial small subunit ribosomal RNA", at positions 335 to 638 of the family's 1533-position model. The record is from RNAcentral.
AAUCCUACGGGAGGCAGCAGUGGGGAAUAUUGGUCAAUGGGCGCGAGCCUGAACCAGCCAAGUCGCGUGAGGGAAGACGGUCCUAUGGAUUGUAAACCUCUUUUGUCGGGGAGCAAAAGACGCCAUGCGUGGCGUUCCGAGAGUACCCGAAGAAAAAGCAUCGGCUAACUCCGUGCCAGCAGCAGCGGUAAUACGGAGGAUGCGAGCGUUAUCCGGAUUUAUUGGGUUUAAAGGGUGCGCAGGCGGAAGAUCAAGUAAGCGGUAAAAUUGAGAGGCUCAGCCUCUUCGAGCCGUUGAAAAUGGUU